CAAUACAUAGCCAAAGUCUAGGACUAUACUAAAAUAAUAUAACAUAAUAAAACAUACAACUUUAAAACACAAGCUAACAAUAACAGAUGUUGUCAUUUAAGCUGUUCAGCCAACCAUGGAUAAUCUCAAAUCACCAAUGUGAUUGGUCACUUUAUCCAUGUUUAUCACUGAAGGCCAUGGAAAUUAACAAAGGUGCUUUUUUGAAUGUUAUCAGUUAACUGAAAUUUGUUAGUGGAUUAGAUCUCUUUCUCAGUGCACAUUCAUGAUGAUAAAACUGCAGGCAUAACCAUACAUUCUGAAGUAUUUCAGCAGUACCAAUAGAAUUUGUUGGUAAAGGAAUUUUUCUCAGUGAAAACUCAUGAAGUAAGAAAGCGUUGAUGUUUGUUUAAAAGCCUUAAUGCGGCAGUCGGAAAAACAGGAAAUUACCUGACUUUCAAAGCAUGUGAAGCAAGGGUGAAAAUCCGAAGCCAUCUUGAUUCAAUAUUUCAAACUUAGUUUGGUCACUCUGCAGAAUCUACAAUGGCAUCUUUCAGCAAGAUUUUAAAUUUACUCUGCUACCAUUGGACAAGAAAAAGCACGGAU
This is a long non-coding RNA of Anneissia japonica, 582 nucleotides long. RefSeq lists it as uncharacterized. Lineage: Eukaryota; Metazoa; Echinodermata; Crinoidea; Comatulida; Comatulidae. The transcript is spliced from 3 exons. The record is from RefSeq and is a predicted model, not a curated record.